GCCUACGGGGGGCAGCAGUAGGGAGUCUUCCACAAUGGGCGAAAGCCUGAUGAAGCAACGCCGCGUGGGUGAAGAAGGUCUUCGGAUCGUAAAACCCUGUUGUUAGAGAGGAAAGUGCGUGAGAGUAACUGUUCACGUUUCGACGGUAUCUAACCAGAAAGCCACGGCUAACUACGUGCCAGCAGCCGCGGUAAUACGUAGGUGGCAAGCGUUAUCCGGAUUUAUUGGGCGUAAAGGGAACGCAGGCGGUCUUUUAAGUCUGAUGUGAAAGCCUUCGGCUUAACCGGAGUAGUGCAUUGGAAACU
This 305-nucleotide ribosomal RNA is filed under the name uncultured bacterium. RNAcentral describes it as "bacterial SSU rRNA". It matches the Rfam family "Bacterial small subunit ribosomal RNA", at positions 337 to 634 of the family's 1533-position model. The record is from RNAcentral.